CUCUUUAAAAGCUUCCAGAGUCGAUUAUAUUUUGGAUUGUGUUUCAGAUCACCCCUCCUCCACGUUGUUUGGUGGGUCCUCAAACAAGUUCCCAGAAUAAAUUAGACAUAACGGUAGCAGGAUUUUUUUAUUUUUUUUCCUUGAGGAGGAGGAAGGAAUAAAUGACACCAAAUUCUGUAAUGGAAAAAAAAAAGUAUGUAUCGGAAACUUCUGCUGAGUGACUCAUGCUGCUGGACAAACGGAACCUCACUCAUCACUCCAUCUUCAUCCUCCUCCUCUGCAUUCUCAGUAAUGAAAAAGCUCUCAAAGAUGGUAGGGGGCUGUCCUGUCAAAGCAUGGCAAGCACAUCACCCUGAAACAUCAUGGAAAAGAUCCAAUUUGAGUCAAUCUCUGCCGGCUACCCAGGCUGUUGAAAUGUCAGAUGGUAAAAACAAGCAAGAGUUCCAGAUGGGGCAACUGGACGAGAAACAUGACAAAGAUGGUAAUGGGGAAGCUUCAGAUUCUAACUUAACUGGGAGUUCUGUAUCCUCACCUGUGACUUCCAAAUCCACUUCUGUCCAAGCCCUUAUGCUAGGCAACAUGCCAUGAGGAAAUUCUUC
This 599-nucleotide long non-coding RNA is filed under the name Struthio camelus australis. RNAcentral's name for it is "lncRNA (ENSSCUG00000013765.1)". Lineage: Eukaryota; Metazoa; Chordata; Aves; Struthioniformes; Struthionidae. The record is from RNAcentral.